RNAcentral lists this ribosomal RNA (2212 nucleotides) under Salmonella enterica subsp. enterica serovar Saintpaul. Its description in RNAcentral is "partial 23S ribosomal RNA". It matches the Rfam family "Bacterial large subunit ribosomal RNA", at positions 1 to 2141 of the family's 2925-position model. Lineage: Bacteria; Pseudomonadati; Pseudomonadota; Gammaproteobacteria; Enterobacterales; Enterobacteriaceae. The record is from RNAcentral.
GGGUUGUGAGGUUAAGCGACUAAGCGUACACGGUGGAUGCCCUGGCAGUCAGAGGCGAUGAAGGGCGUGCUAAUCUGCGAUAAGCGCCGGUAAGGUGAUAUGAACCGUUAUAACCGGCGAUACCCGAAUGGGGAAACCCAGUGUGAUUCGUCACACUAUCAUUAACUGAAUCCAUAGGUUAAUGAGGCGAACCGGGGGAACUGAAACAUCUAAGUACCCCGAGGAAAAGAAAUCAACCGAGAUUCCCCCAGUAGCGGCGAGCGAACGGGGAGGAGCCCAGAGCCUGAAUCAGCAUGUGUGUUAGUGGAAGCGUCUGGAAAGGCGCGCGAUACAGGGUGACAGCCCCGUACACAAAAGCGCAUGUGCUGUGAGCUCGAUGAGUAGGGCGGGACACGUGGUAUCCUGUCUGAAUAUGGGGGGACCAUCCUCCAAGGCUAAAUACUCCUGACUGACCGAUAGUGAACCAGUACCGUGAGGGAAAGGCGAAAAGAACCCCGGCGAGGGGAGUGAAAAAGAACCUGAAACCGUGUACGUACAAGCAGUGGGAGCACAGGUUUACCUGUGUGACUGCGUACCUUUUGUAUAAUGGGUCAGCGACUUAUAUUCUGUAGCAAGGUUAACCGUAUAGGGGAGCCGGAGGGAAACCGAGUCUUAACCGGGCGUUAAGUUGCAGGGUAUAGACCCGAAACCCGGUGAUCUAGCCAUGGGCAGGUUGAAGGUUGGGUAACACUAACUGGAGGACCGAACCGACUAAUGUUGAAAAAUUAGCGGAUGACCUGUGGCUGGGGGUGAAAGGCCAAUCAAACCGGGAGAUAGCUGGUUCUCCCCGAAAGCUAUUUAGGUAGCGCCUCGUGAAUUCAUCUCCGGGGGUAGAGCACUGUUUCGGCUAGGGGGCCAUCCCGGCUUACCAACCCGAUGCAAACUGCGAAUACCGGAGAAUGUUAUCACGGGAGACACACGGCGGGUGCUAACGUCCGUCGUGAAGAGGGAAACAACCCAGACCGCCAGCUAAGGUCCCAAAGUCAUGGUUAAGUGGGAAACGAUGUGGGAAGGCCCAGACAGCCAGGAUGUUGGCUUAGAAGCAGCCAUCAUUUAAAGAAAGCGUAAUAGCUCACUGGUCGAGUCGGCCUGCGCGGAAGAUGUAACGGGGCUAAACCAUGCACCGAAGCUGCGGCAGCGAACGUAUCACCCAAGACAACUUUACGGAGUUGACGAUUGACGGAGCGAAGCGACGUCAAAGCGUUCAUUAAAGUCGAGUUGGCUUAGGGAUACGUUCGUUGGGUAGGGGAGCGUUCUGUAAGCCUGUGAAGGUGUGUCGUGAGGCAUGCUGGAGGUAUCAGAAGUGCGAAUGCUGACAUAAGUAACGAUAAAGCGGGUGAAAAGCCCGCUCGCCGGAAGACCAAGGGUUCCUGUCCAACGUUAAUCGGGGCAGGGUGAGUCGACCCCUAAGGCGAGGCCGAAAGGCGUAGUCGAUGGGAAACGGGUUAAUAUUCCCGUACUUGGUGUUACUGCGAAGGGGGGACGGAGAAGGCUAUGUUGGCCGGGCGACGGUUGUCCCGGUUUAAGCGUGUAGGUGUGUGUUCCAGGUAAAUCCGGUUCACUUUAACACUGAGGCGUGACGACGAGGCACUACGGUGCUGAAGCAACAAAUGCCCUGCUUCCAGGAAAAGCCUCUAAGCAUCAGGUAACACGAAAUCGUACCCCAAACCGACACAGGUGGUCAGGUAGAGAAUACCAAGGCGCUUGAGAGAAUUCGGGUGAAGGAACUAGGCAAAAUGGUGCCGUAACUUCGGGAGAAGGCACGCUGACAUGUAGGUGAAGUGAUUUACUCAUGGAGCUGAAGUCAGUCGAAGAUACCAGCUGGCUGCAACUGUUUAUUAAAAACACAGCACUGUGCAAACACGAAAGUGGACGUAUACGGUGUGACGCCUGCCCGGUGCCGGAAGGUUAAUUGAUGGGGUCAGCGCAAGCGAAGCUCCUGAUCGAAGCCCCGGUAAACGGCGGCCGUAACUAUAACGGUCCUAAGGUAGCGAAAUUCCUUGUCGGGUAAGUUCCGACCUGCACGAAUGGCGUAAUGAUGGCCAGGCUGUCUCCACCCGAGACUCAGUGAAAUUGAACUCGCUGUGAAGAUGCAGUGUACCCGCGGCAAGACGGAAAGACCCCGUGAACCUUUACUAUAGCUUGACACUGAACAUUGAGCCUUGAUGUGUAG